UUAAGCGACUAAGCGUACACGGUGGAUGCCCUGGCAGUCAGAGGCGAUGAAGGACGUGCUAAUCUGCGAAAAGCGUCGGUAAGGUGAUAUGAACCGUUAUAACCGGCGAUGUCCGAAUGGGGAAACCCAGUGCAAUUCGUUGCACUAUCGUUAACUGAAUACAUAGGUUAACGAGGCGAACCGGGGGAACUGAAACAUCUAAGUACCCCGAGGAAAAGAAAUCAACCGAGAUUCCCCCAGUAGCGGCGAGCGAACGGGGAGCAGCCCGGAGUCUGAAUCAGCUUGUGUGUUAGUGGAAGCGUCUGGAAAGUCGCAGGGUACAGGGUGAUACUCCCGUACACUAAAACGCACAGGCUGUGAACUCGAAGAGUAGGGCGGGACACGUGGUAUCCUGUCUGAAUAUGGGGGGACCAUCCUCCAAGGCUAAAUACUCCUGACUGACCGAUAGUGAACCAGUACCGUGAGGGAAAGGCGAAAAGAACCCCGGCGAGGGGAGUGAAAAAGAACCUGAAACCGUGUACGUACAAGCAGUAGGAGCCCACUAGUUGGGUGACUGCGUACCUUUUGUAUAAUGGGUCAGCGACUUAUAUUCUGUAGCAAGGUUAACCGAAUAGGGGAGCCGCAGGGAAACCGAGUCUUAACUGGGCGUUAAGUUGCAGGGUAUAGACCCGAAACCCGGUGAUCUAGCCAUGGGCAGGUUGAAGGUUGGGUAACACUAACUGGAGGACCGAACCGACUAAUGUUGAAAAAUUAGCGGAUGACUUGUGGCUGGGGGUGAAAGGCCAAUCAAACCGGGAGAUAGCUGGUUCUCCCCGAAAGCUAUUUAGGUAGCGCCUCGUGAACUCAUCUUCGGGGGUAGAGCACUGUUUCGGCUAGGGGGUCAUCCCGACUUACCAACCCGAUGCAAACUACGAAUACCGAAGAAUGUUAUCACGGGAGACACACGGCGGGUGCUAACGUCCGUCGUGAAGAGGGAAACAACCCAGACCGCCAGCUAAGGUCCCAAAGUCAUGGUUAAGUGGGAAACGAUGUGGGAAGGCCCAGACAGCCAGGAUGUUGGCUUAGAAGCAGCCAUCAUUUAAAGAAAGCGUAAUAGCUCACUGGUCGAGUCGGCCUGCGCGGAAGAUGUAACGGGGCUAAACCAUGCACCGAAGCUGCGGCAGCGACGCUUAUGCGUUGUUGGGUAGGGGAGCGUUCUGUAAGCCGUUGAAGGUGGCCUGUGAGGGUUGCUGGAGGUAUCAGAAGUGCGAAUGCUGACAUAAGUAACGAUAAUGCGGGUGAAAAACCCGCACGCCGGAAGACCAAGGGUUCCUGUCCAACGUUAAUCGGGGCAGGGUGAGUCGACCCCUAAGGCGAGGCCGAAAGGCGUAGUCGAUGGGAAACAGGUUAAUAUUCCUGUACUUGGUGUUACUGCGAAGGGGGGACGGAGAAGGCUAUGUUGGCCGGGCGACGGUUGUCCCGGUUUAAGCAUGUAGGCGGAUGUUCCAGGUAAAUCCGGAACGUUACUAACGCUGAGGUGUGAUGACGAGGCACUACGGUGCUGAAGUGACAAAUGCCCUGCUUCCAGGAAAAGCCUCUAAGCAUCAGGUAACAUCAAAUCGUACCCCAAACCGACACAGGUGGUCAGGUAGAGAAUACCAAGGCGCUUGAGAGAACUCGGGUGAAGGAACUAGGCAAAAUGGUGCCGUAACUUCGGGAGAAGGCACGCUGAUGGUAGGUGAAGCGACUUGCUCGUGGAGCUGAAAUCAGUCGAAGAUACCAGCUGGCUGCAACUGUUUAUUAAAAACACAGCACUGUGCAAACACGAAAGUGGACGUAUACGGUGUGACGCCUGCCCGGUGCCGGAAGGUUAAUUGAUGGGGUUAUCCUCACGGAGAAGCUCUUGAUCGAAGCCCCGGUAAACGGCGGCCGUAACUAUAACGGUCCUAAGGUAGCGAAAUUCCUUGUCGGGUAAGUUCCGACCUGCACGAAUGGCGUAAUGAUGGCCAGGCUGUCUCCACCCGAGACUCAGUGAAAUUGAACUCGCUGUGAAGAUGCAGUGUACCCGCGGCAAGACGGAAAGACCCCGUGAACCUUUACUAUAGCUUGACACUGAACACUGGUCCUUGAUGUGUAGGAUAGGUGGGAGGCUUUGAAGUGUGGACGCCAGUCUGCAUGGAGCCAUCCUUGAAAUACCACCCUUUAAUGGCUGGUGUUCUAACGUGGGCCCGUGAUCCGGGUUGCGGACAGUGUCUGGUGGGUAGUUUGACUGGGGCGGUCUCCUCCUAAAGAGUAACGGAGGAGCACGAAGGUCAGCUAAUCCUGGUCGGACAUCAGGAGGUUAGUGCAAUGGCAUAAGCUGGCUUGACUGCGAGCGUGACGGCGCGAGCAGGUGCGAAAGCAGGUCAUAGUGAUCCGGUGGUUCUGAAUGGAAGGGCCAUCGCUCAACGGAUAAAAGGUACUCCGGGGAUAACAGGCUGAUACCGCCCAAGAGUUCAUAUCGACGGCGGUGUUUGGCACCUCGAUGUCGGCUCAUCACAUCCUGGGGCUGAAGUAGGUCCCAAGGGUAUGGCUGUUCGCCAUUUAAAGUGGUACGCGAGCUGGGUUUAGAACGUCGUGAGACAGUUCGGUCCCUAUCUGCCGUGGGCGCUGGAGAAUUGAGGGGGGCUGCUCCUAGUACGAGAGGACCGGAGUGGACGCAUCACUGGUGUUCGGGUUGUCAUGCCAAUGGCAUUGCCCGGUAGCUAAAUGCGGAAGAGAUAAGUGCUGAAAGCAUCUAAGCACGAAACUUGCCCCGAGAUGAGUUCUCCCUGACUCCUUGAGAGUCCUGAAGGAACGUUGAAGACGACGACGUUGAUAGGCCGGGUGUGUAAGCGCAGCGAUGCGUUGAGCUAACCGGUACUAAUGAACCGUGAGGCUUAACCUU
RNAcentral lists this ribosomal RNA (2905 nucleotides) under Klebsiella oxytoca 10-5248. RNAcentral describes it as "bacterial LSU rRNA". It matches the Rfam family "Bacterial large subunit ribosomal RNA". Lineage: Bacteria; Pseudomonadati; Pseudomonadota; Gammaproteobacteria; Enterobacterales; Enterobacteriaceae. The record is from RNAcentral.